GACGAACGCUGGCGGCGUGCUUAACACAUGCAAGUCGAACGGUGAAGGGGCCUGCUUUUGUGGGCCCUGGAUGAGUGGCGAACGGGUGAGUAACACGUGAGUAACCUGCCCCCUUCUUCUGGAUAACCGCAUGAAAGUGUGGCUAAUACGGGAUAUUCUGGGUCUGUCGCAUGAUGGGUCUGGGAAAGAUUGCGCCUUUGGGUGUUUUUGGUGGGGGAUGGGCUCGCGGCCUAUCAGCUUGUUGGUGGGGUGAUGGCCUACCAAGGCGGUGACGGGUAGCCGGCCUGAGAGGGUGGACGGUCACACUGGGGCUGAGACACGGCCCAGACUCCUACGGGAGGCAGCAGUGGGGAAUAUUGCACAAUGGGCGCAAGCCUGAUGCAGCGACGCCGCGUGAGGGAUGGAGGCCUUCGGGUUGUAAACCUCUUUCGCCAGUGAAGCAGGCCUGCUCCUUGUGGGUGGGUUGACGGUAGCUGGAUAAGAAGCGCCGGCUAACUACGUG
RNAcentral lists this ribosomal RNA (502 nucleotides) under uncultured bacterium. RNAcentral describes it as "partial 16S ribosomal RNA". It matches the Rfam family "Bacterial small subunit ribosomal RNA", at positions 28 to 507 of the family's 1533-position model. The record is from RNAcentral.